This 76-nucleotide transfer RNA is filed under the name Marmota monax (woodchuck). RNAcentral describes it as "tRNA.Ala". The stretch from base 7 to 71 matches the Rfam family "tRNA". Rfam says of the family: Transfer RNA (tRNA) molecules are approximately 80 nucleotides in length. Their secondary structure includes four short double-helical elements and three loops (D, anti-codon, and T loops). The record is from RNAcentral. Lineage: Eukaryota; Metazoa; Chordata; Mammalia; Rodentia; Sciuridae.
GCUAGGGGUGUAGCUCAGUGGUAAAGCAUGAGCUCAGCAUGCGCAAAGCCCUGGGUUCAAUUGCCAGCACCAAGCA